This 450-nucleotide ribosomal RNA is filed under the name uncultured bacterium. Its description in RNAcentral is "partial 16S ribosomal RNA". It matches the Rfam family "Bacterial small subunit ribosomal RNA", at positions 338 to 795 of the family's 1533-position model. The record is from RNAcentral.
CCUACGGGGGGCUGCAGUGAGGAAUCUUGCGCAAUGGGGGAAACCCUGACGCAGCCACGCCGCGUGGGUGAAGAAGGUCUUCGGAUCGUAAAGCCCUGUCAGGUGGGAAGAACCGCAGUCGGGUGAAUAAUCUGGCUGCCUGACGGUACCACCAAAGGAAGCACCGGCUAACUCCGUGCCAGCAGCCGCGGUAAUACGGAGGGUACAAGCGUUGUUCGGAAUUACUGGGCGUACAGCGCGAGUAAGCGGCGAAAGCCCUCGGCUUAACCGGGGAAGUGCAUCUGAUACUGUCGGGCUUGAGUCCUGGAGAGGGUUGUGGAAUUCCCGGUGUAGAGGUGAAAUUCGUAGAUAUCGGGAGGAACACCAGUGGCGAAGGCGACAACCUGGACAGAGACUGACGCUGAGACGCGAAAGCGUGGGGAGCAAACAGGAUUAGAUACCCCAGUAGUC